This 253-nucleotide ribosomal RNA is filed under the name uncultured bacterium. Its description in RNAcentral is "partial 16S ribosomal RNA". It matches the Rfam family "Bacterial small subunit ribosomal RNA", at positions 524 to 776 of the family's 1533-position model. The record is from RNAcentral.
UGCGGAGGGCGCGAGCGUUAAUCGGAAUAACUGGGCGUAAAGGGCACGCAGGCGGGCUUUUAAGUGAGAUGUGAAAUCCCCGGGCUUAACCUGGGAAUAGCAUUUCAGACUGGGAGUCUAGAGUACUCUAGGGAGGGGUAGAAUUCCACGUGUAGCGGUGAAAUGCGUAGAGAUGUGGAGGAAUACCGAAGGCGAAGGCAGCCCCUUGGGGAUGUACUGACGCCCAUGUGCGAAAGCGUGGGGAGCAAACAGG